UACGUAGGGUGCGAGCGUUGUCCGGAAUUAUUGGGCGUAAAGAGCUCGUAGGCGGUUUGUCACGUCGGGAGUGAAAACUCGGGGCUUAACUCCGAGCUUGCUUCCGAUACGGGCAGGCUAGAGGCAUGCAGGGGAGAACGGAAUUCCUGGUGUAGCGGUGAAAUGCGCAGAUAUCAGGAGGAACACCGGUGGCGAAGGCGGUUCUCUGGGCAUGUCCUGACGCUGAGGAGCGAAAGUGUGGGGAGCGAACAGG
Molecule: ribosomal RNA, 253 nt
Filed under: uncultured Nocardioides sp.
Lineage: Bacteria; Bacillati; Actinomycetota; Actinomycetes; Propionibacteriales; Nocardioidaceae
Description: partial 16S ribosomal RNA
Rfam family: Bacterial small subunit ribosomal RNA
Source: RNAcentral